CACGAUGUCAACUGGUUGUUGGGGGAUUAACUCCCUUAGUAACGAAGCUAACGCGUGAAGUUGACCGCCUGGGGAGUACGGCCGCCAAGGUUAAAACUCAAAGGAAUUGACGGGGACCCGCACAAGCGGUGGAUUAUGUGGANUAAUUCGAUGCAACGCGAAAAACCUUACCUACCCUUGACAUGCUAGGAAGCUCGCAGAGAUGUGAGUGUGCCCGAAAGGGAACCUAGACACAGGUGCUGCAUGGCUGUCGUCAGCUCGUGUCGUGAGAUGUUGGGUUAAGUCCCGCAACGAGCGCAACCCUUGUCAUUAGUUGCUACAUUUAGUUGGGCACUCUAAUGAGACUGCCGGUGACAAACCGGAGGAAGGUGGGGAUGACGUCAAGUCCUCAUGGCCCUUAUGGGUAGGGCCUCACACGUAAUACAAUGGCCGGUACAGAGGGUUGCCAACCCGCGAGGGGGAGCCAAUCCCAGAAAGCCGGUCGUAGUCCGGAUUGUUCUCUGCAACUCGAGAGCAUGAAGUUGGAAUCGCUAGUAAUCGCGGAUCAGCAUGUCGCGGUGAAUACGUUCCCGGGUCUUGUACACACCGCCCGUCACACCAUGGGAGUGGGUUUCACCAGAAGUAGGUAGCCUAACCGNCAAGGAGGGCGCUUACCACGGUGAGAUUCAUGACUGGGGUGAAGUCGUAACAAGGUACC
This 697-nucleotide ribosomal RNA is filed under the name uncultured bacterium. RNAcentral describes it as "bacterial SSU rRNA". It matches the Rfam family "Bacterial small subunit ribosomal RNA", at positions 801 to 1500 of the family's 1533-position model. The record is from RNAcentral.